UUUCACCAGUAAAUUAUCUUUCUGCAAGCACAAAGGUGUAGUGAGAUGAUUUUGUCUCUCAUGAAUGUUUUUGCAUGCUAUAUGUGGUGAGGAUGUAACUAGAUAGACCAAUCAAUCAAAAAUAAAUUUGUUCCAUGAUCCACUUAGUUCUAAAAAGAGUUGAGGGAAAACAAAGUCAAUUUCAAAUGGUAGGUGUAAGGUGAUUUACUCAGUUGAUAAAAGAUGUGAAUAUAUUUGAUCACUUUUUG
This 248-nucleotide unclassified non-coding RNA is filed under the name Hevea brasiliensis (rubber tree). The record is from RNAcentral. Lineage: Eukaryota; Viridiplantae; Streptophyta; Magnoliopsida; Malpighiales; Euphorbiaceae.